GAUGAACGCUGGCGGCGUGCCUAAUACAUGCAAGUCGAGCGAACAGACGAGGAGCUUGCUCCUCUGACGUUAGCGGCGGACGGGUGAGUAACACGUGGAUAACCUACCUAUAAGACUGGGAUAACUUCGGGAAACCGGAGCUAAUACCGGAUAAUAUAUUGAACCACAUGGUUCAAUAGUGAAAGACGGUUUUGCUGUCACUUAUAGAUGGAUCCGCGCCGCAUUAGCUAGUUGGUAAGGUAACGGCUUACCAAGGCGACGAUGCGUAGCCGACCUGAGAGGGUGAUCGGCAACACUGGAACUGAGACACGGUCCAGACUCCUACGGGAGGCAGCAGUAGGGAAUCUUCCGCAAUGGGCGAAAGCCUGACGGAGCAACGCCGCGUGAGUGAUGAAGGUCUUCGGAUCGUAAAACUCUGUUAUUAGGGAAGAACAAAUGUGUAAGUAACUAUGCACGUCUUGACGGUACCUAAUCAGAAAGCCACGGCUAACUACGUG
This 497-nucleotide ribosomal RNA is filed under the name uncultured bacterium. Its description in RNAcentral is "partial 16S ribosomal RNA". It matches the Rfam family "Bacterial small subunit ribosomal RNA", at positions 28 to 507 of the family's 1533-position model. The record is from RNAcentral.